GCGCGGUGGUCCCACCUGACCCCAUGCCGAACUCAGAAGUGAAACGCCGUAGCGCCGAUGGUAGUGUGGGGUCUCCCCAUGUGAGAGUAGGG
Molecule: ribosomal RNA, 92 nt
Filed under: Klebsiella pneumoniae
Lineage: Bacteria; Pseudomonadati; Pseudomonadota; Gammaproteobacteria; Enterobacterales; Enterobacteriaceae
Source: RNAcentral